UGUAGAUCCCGCUCACAGAGAGCAGGACAAACGGCAGUAACCCUGGGCUCCCCCUUGUGUUCCAUGUAGAUCCCGCUCACAGAGCAGGACAAACGGCAGUAACCCUGGGCUCCCCCUGUGUUCCAUGUAGAUCCCGCUCACACAGAGCAGGACAAACGGCAGUAACCCUGGGCUCCCCCUGUGUUCCAUGUAGAUCCCGCUCACAGAGCAGGACAAACGGCAGUAACCCUGG
This is a non-coding RNA of Pelobates cultripes (western spadefoot toad), 232 nucleotides long. NCBI's taxonomy places the organism in Eukaryota, Metazoa, Chordata, Amphibia, Anura, Pelobatidae. The record is from the annotation of a GenBank genome assembly.